CAUUUUUUGGACUAAUUGUUUUUCCAUAUCGAAAAAAUGCGAUAAAUCCUUCAAUUUCAUGGGUGGUUAGCCAAGUUUGUGACGGGUUAAAUUAUGUCAACAUGAUUUUGGCUGAAACAUUUUUGUCAUUAAACCGUUUCAAACAAAAUGAAGAAAGGACCAUGCGUGCCCUCCCUGAACUUUUGCAAAUAUGGUUUUUCUCCCACAUAAAAGGGUUUGGGCACCUUAUGAAACAAUUUAA
This 241-nucleotide long non-coding RNA is filed under the name Eucalyptus grandis. RNAcentral's name for it is "long non-coding RNA (EGRA_LNC002042)". Lineage: Eukaryota; Viridiplantae; Streptophyta; Magnoliopsida; Myrtales; Myrtaceae. The record is from RNAcentral.